Molecule: non-coding RNA, 185 nt
Organism: Oryza nivara
Lineage: Eukaryota; Viridiplantae; Streptophyta; Magnoliopsida; Poales; Poaceae
Source: Rfam
AAUAAGCACAGCCAUGAGUUUCCAUGUCCAACUUUAAUCGUUCGUCUUAUUUGAGAUUUUUUUUAUAAUUUAUAAAACAUGAAUAAUACUUUAUGCGUGACUCAUGCUUUUUAGUUUUUUUUAAAAAAAUUUCAAAUAAGACAAAUAAUUAAAGUUUAACACAGAAAUUUAUGGUUAUGCUUAUU